RNAcentral lists this ribosomal RNA (438 nucleotides) under uncultured bacterium. Its description in RNAcentral is "bacterial SSU rRNA". It matches the Rfam family "Bacterial small subunit ribosomal RNA", at positions 338 to 787 of the family's 1533-position model. The record is from RNAcentral.
CCUACGGGGGGCAGCAGUCGAGAAUCAUUCACAAUGGGGGAAACCCUGAUGGUGCGACGCCGCGUGGGGGAAUGAAGGUCUUCGGAUUGUAAACCCCUGUCAUGUGGGAGCAAAUUAAAAAGAUAGUACCACAAGAGGAAGAGACGGCUAACUCUGUGCCAGCAGCCGCGGUAAUACAGAGGUCUCAAGCGUUGUUCGGAAUCACUGGGCGUAAAGCGUGCGUAGGCUGUUUCGUAAGUCGUGUGUGAAAGGCGCGGGCUCAACCCGCGGACGGCACAUGAUACUGCGAGACUAGAGUAAUGGAGGGGGAACCGGAAUUCUCGGUGUAGCAGUGAAAUGCGUAGAUAUCGAGAGGAACACUCGUGGCGAAGGCGGGUUCCUGGACAUUAACUGACGCUGAGGCACGAAGGCCAGGGGAGCGAAAGGGAUUAGAUACCC